RNAcentral lists this ribosomal RNA (762 nucleotides) under Halomonas sp. Its description in RNAcentral is "bacterial SSU rRNA". It matches the Rfam family "Bacterial small subunit ribosomal RNA", at positions 35 to 790 of the family's 1533-position model. The record is from RNAcentral. Lineage: Bacteria; Pseudomonadati; Pseudomonadota; Gammaproteobacteria; Oceanospirillales; Halomonadaceae.
GUUUCCUGCGGCAGCUACACAUGCAAGUCGAGCGGCAGCACGGGGAGCUUGCUCCCUGGUGGCGAGCGGCGGACGGGUGAGUAAUGCAUAGGAAUCUGCCCGGUAGUGGGGGAUAACGUGGGGAAACCCACGCUAAUACCGCAUACGUCCUACGGGAGAAAGCGGAGGAUCUUCGGACUUCGCGCUAUCGGAUGAGCCUAUGUCGGAUUAGCUAGUUGGUAAGGUAAUGGCUUACCAAGGCGACGAUCCGUAGCUGGUCUGAGAGGAUGAUCAGCCACACUGGGACUGAGACACGGCCCAGACUCCUACGGGAGGCAGCAGUGGGGAAUAUUGGACAAUGGGCGAAAGCCUGAUCCAGCCAUGCCGCGUGUGUGAAGAAGGCUUUCGGGUUGUAAAGCACUUUCAGCGAGGAAGAAGGCCUCUGGGUUAAUACCCCAGAGGAAGGACAUCACUCGCAGAAGAAGCACCGGCUAACUCCGUGCCAGCAGCCGCGGUAAUACGGAGGGUGCGAGCGUUAAUCGGAAUUACUGGGCGUAAAGCGCGCGUAGGUGGCUUGGCACGCCGGUUGUGAAAGCCCCGGGCUCAACCUGGGAACGGCAUCCGGAACGGCCAGGCUAGAGUGCAGGAGAGGAAGGUAGAAUUCCCGGUGUAGCGGUGAAAUGCGUAGAGAUCGGGAGGAAUACCAGUGGCGAAGGCGGCCUUCUGGCCUGACACUGACACUGAGGUGCGAAAGCGUGGGUAGCAAACAGGAUUAGAUCCCGG